Molecule: long non-coding RNA, 868 nt
Organism: Lagopus muta (rock ptarmigan)
Lineage: Eukaryota; Metazoa; Chordata; Aves; Galliformes; Phasianidae
Exons: 9
Source: RefSeq, a predicted model, not a curated record
AGGAGCUCAUGAAGGUGAUAAGGAGGUCAUGAAGGUGAUAAGGAGCAGAUAGAGGUGAUAAGGAGGUCGUGAAGGUGAUAAGGGGCUCAUAAAGGUGAUAAGGAGGUCAUAAAGGUGAUAAGGAGGUCAUGAAGGUGAUAAGGAGGUCAUAAAGGUGAUAUGGAGCUGAUAAGGAUGAUAAGGAGGCCAUAAAGAUGAUAAGGAGCUCAUAAAGAUGAUAUGGAGCUGAUAAGGAUGAUAAGGAGGUCAUAAAGAUGAUAAGGAGCUGAUAAGGAUGAUAAGGAGGUCAUAAAGAUGCUAAGGAGGUCAUGAAGAUGAUAAGGAGGUCAUGAAGGUGAUAUGGAGCUGAUAAGGAUGAUAAGGAGGCCAUAAAGGUGAUAAGGAGCUCAUAAAGGUGAUAUGGAGCUGAUAAGGAUGAUAAGGAGGUCAUAAAGGUGAUAAGGAGGUUAUAAGGAUGAUAAGGAGGUCAUGAAGCUGAUAAGGAGCUGAUAGAGGGGAUAAGGAGGUCGUGAAGGUGAUAAGGAGGUCAUGAAGGUGAUAAGGAGGUCAUAAAGGUGAUAAGGAGGUCAUGAAGAUGAUAAGGAGCUCAUAGAUGUGAUAAGGAGGCCAUAAAGUUGAUAAGAAUGUCAUAAAGAUGAUAAGGAGGCCAUAAAGAUGAUAAGGAGGCCAUAAAGAUGAUAAGGAGCUGAUAGAUGUGAUAAGGAGGUCAUAAAGAUGAUAAGGAGGCCAUAAAGAUGAUAAGGAGCUCAUAGAUGUGAUAAGGAGGCCAUAAAGAUGAUAAGGAGGCCAUAAAGAUGAUAAGGAGGCCAUGAAGAUGAUAAGGAGCUCAUAGAUGUGAUAAGGAGGCCAUAAAGAUGAUAAGGAGCUC